UUUCGAAUUGGAUCUUUGCUGGAAGAAUGUUUUCACAAUACAAUAAGAAGACUCUGAAGUUCAAAAUGUAAACUCGUGCCAUAGAAUCCCAUUCUGAAAGAAAAGAAUUUAUGGCAUGCAGAAUUAGUGGUGUAACUUUUAUAGGAUAUCUGACAACGGAUUUCUUCGAACAAGUGCAUAAUGAUGAAUAUAAGCAUAAUCGGGCUACGGAUCCUUAGCCACCUUC
Molecule: long non-coding RNA, 226 nt
Filed under: Olea europaea (common olive)
Lineage: Eukaryota; Viridiplantae; Streptophyta; Magnoliopsida; Lamiales; Oleaceae
Description: long non-coding RNA (OEUR_LNC003756)
Source: RNAcentral